RNAcentral lists this ribosomal RNA (305 nucleotides) under uncultured bacterium. Its description in RNAcentral is "bacterial SSU rRNA". It matches the Rfam family "Bacterial small subunit ribosomal RNA", at positions 334 to 637 of the family's 1533-position model. The record is from RNAcentral.
UUAGCCUACGGGAGGCAGCAGUGAGGAAUAUUGGUCAAUGGGCGGGAGCCUGAACCAGCCAAGUCGCGUGAAGGAAGAAGGUACUUAGUAUUGUAAACUUCUUUUGUCGGGGAACAAAGGCGGAGACGCGUCUCCGGAUGAGUGUACCCGAAGAAAAAGCAUCGGCUAACUCCGUGCCAGCAGCCGCGGUAAUACGGAGGAUGCGAGCGUUAUCCGGAUUUAUUGGGUUUAAAGGGUGCGUAGGCGGACAGUCAAGUCAGCGGUAAAAAUGCGGUGCUCAACGCCGUACAGCCGUUGAAACUGGC